RNAcentral lists this ribosomal RNA (568 nucleotides) under Bacillus sp. CH320a_11T. RNAcentral's name for it is "bacterial SSU rRNA". It matches the Rfam family "Bacterial small subunit ribosomal RNA", at positions 59 to 610 of the family's 1533-position model. The record is from RNAcentral. Lineage: Bacteria; Bacillati; Bacillota; Bacilli; Caryophanales; Bacillaceae.
CAGUCGAGCGGACUUUUAAAGCUUGCUUUUGAAAGGUCAGCGGCGGACGGGUGAGUAACACGUGGGCAACCUGCCUGUAAGACUGGGAUAACUUCGGGAAACCGGAGCUAAUACCGGAUAAUAUAAAGAACCUCCUGGUUCUUUAUUGAAAGAUGGUUUCGGCUAUCACUUACAGAUGGGCCCGCGGCGCAUUAGCUAGUUGGUGAGGUAAUGGCUCACCAAGGCGACGAUGCGUAGCCGACCUGAGAGGGUGAUCGGCCACACUGGGACUGAGACACGGCCCAGACUCCUACGGGAGGCAGCAGUAGGGAAUCUUCCACAAUGGACGAAAGUCUGAUGGAGCAACGCCGCGUGAGCGAUGAAGGCCUUCGGGUCGUAAAGCUCUGUUGUUAGGGAAGAACAAGUGCGAGAGUAACUGCUCGCACCUUGACGGUACCUAACCAGAAAGCCACGGCUAACUACGUGCCAGCAGCCGCGGUAAUACGUAUGUGGCAAGCGUUGUCCGGAAUUAUUGGGCGUAAAGCGCGCGCAGGUGGUCCUUUAAGUCUGAUGUGAAAGCCCACGGCUC